Molecule: long non-coding RNA, 374 nt
Filed under: Mus caroli (Ryukyu mouse)
Lineage: Eukaryota; Metazoa; Chordata; Mammalia; Rodentia; Muridae
Description: predicted gene 29629 (MGP_CAROLIEiJ_G0002394.1)
Source: RNAcentral
CGGCCGCGCUGCCAGGCUUAGGUGCCCUGCCCCGCGCCCCGCGCCCUGCCGGGGUCCCUACUCGGGACCCUGGCUCUUCCUGGCCCUGGAAAGGUCCUUCUACUCAGGCCCUGUUCUCAUGCAGUUCACUGUCCACGGAGAGAGAGGUGCGAAGAGGGACUGUCACAUGUCAAGACAACAUUGUCCGGAGCAGAGGACAGAAGCUUUAUUCUGUCCCAGCACAACUUCUCAAAGGACAAGUGACAGUGGAGACAGUAUAAGGCCAGCGACCAUCCUGUCUCCAGCGUGUAUUUGCCCUCAGAAUUCUGAGCUCACCGCCCUUUAAAGGCAUCGUCUAAGAGGGGCUCAUGGCUUGUGAUCCCAGCUCCUCGGGA